UCCUACGGGGCGCAGCAGUGGGGAAUAUUGCACAAUGGGGGAAACCCUGAUGCAGCAACGCCGCGUGAGUGAAGAAGUAUUUCGGUAUGUAAAGCUCUAUCAGCAGGGAAGACGUCGACGGUACCUGCAGAAGAAGCUCCGGCUAACUACGUGCCAGCAGCCGCGGUAAUACGUAGGGGGCGAGCGUUAUCCGGAUUCAUUGGGCGUAAAGCGCGCGUAGGCGGCCGCCUAAGCGGAACCUCUAACCCCGGGGCUCAACCUCGGGCCGGGUUCCGGACUGGGCGGCUCGAGUGCGGUAGAGGAGG
Molecule: ribosomal RNA, 305 nt
Filed under: uncultured bacterium
Lineage: Bacteria
Description: bacterial SSU rRNA
Rfam family: Bacterial small subunit ribosomal RNA
Source: RNAcentral